GCUUCUUCUAGAGGUGCUGCAGAUGUGGCUGCUGUGCCAUGUGUGCGUUAGUAGGUGGCAGAGAGGAGAUAUGAUAUGUCUACACUCGGCAUUCUGACCUGUGAAACUGAAUUAUUAGUAAGCUAA
Small nucleolar RNA from Mastomys coucha (southern multimammate mouse), 126 nucleotides. RefSeq annotates it as small nucleolar RNA SNORA17. The record is from RefSeq and is a predicted model, not a curated record. The transcript has a single exon. NCBI's taxonomy places the organism in Eukaryota, Metazoa, Chordata, Mammalia, Rodentia, Muridae.